CCGAAUAUCUGAUGUGAGAAAUUCAAUACUGUUCAAUGGGAAAUCUUUAUUUCUAUUGAAUCGUAUGCACUUUUCUCAUAGUAAGACAUUGUAAUCCAUUGAUAUUAUAUCUUUAUUUGUUUAAAGAUGAUUUAACAUACGGACAAAAUGUUUAUGAUUAUUCUAUCAAUGAUAUGUUUUACAUGUCAUAUGAAUAAAAUCGUUUUGUACCUGUUUAAAUAGUCGAUGGAUUUUUCAAUUAAAAUCAUGCUUGCAAUUUAUUUUGCGUUUCGUAUCGUUAAUUUUUAAUUGAUGGUAGCAGAAAUGGCAUGUAUUUGAUUAACAAUGCGAUAGAUUUGGGAUGCCUUCGGGACCCGUCUUGA
RNAcentral lists this ribosomal RNA (362 nucleotides) under Lasioptera donacis. RNAcentral's name for it is "partial large subunit ribosomal RNA". Lineage: Eukaryota; Metazoa; Arthropoda; Insecta; Diptera; Cecidomyiidae. The record is from RNAcentral.